RNAcentral lists this small RNA (56 nucleotides) under Caenorhabditis elegans. RNAcentral's name for it is "Unclassified non-coding RNA W06H8.16". The record is from RNAcentral. Lineage: Eukaryota; Metazoa; Nematoda; Chromadorea; Rhabditida; Rhabditidae.
GGGGCGCCGAACAGACUAAACUUCAAAGUUGGUGUCUGCGUCUCCGUCUCUCUAGU